RNAcentral lists this ribosomal RNA (269 nucleotides) under uncultured prokaryote. RNAcentral describes it as "partial 16S ribosomal RNA". It matches the Rfam family "Bacterial small subunit ribosomal RNA", at positions 524 to 792 of the family's 1533-position model. The record is from RNAcentral.
UACGGAGGAUGCAAGCGUUAUCCGGAUUUAUUGGGUUUAAAGGGUGCGUAGGCGGGGCAAUUAGUCAGUGGUGAAAUCCUGCGGCUUAACCGUAGAAUUGCCAUUGAUACUGUUGUCCUUGAGUAUAGUUGAGGUGGGCGGAAUGUGUAAUGUAGCGGUGAAAUGCAUAGAGAUUACACAGAACACCAAUUGCGAAGGCAGCUCACUAAGCUAUAACUGACGCUGAGGCACGAAAGCGUGGGGAGCGAACAGGAUUAGAUACCCCCGUA